UAAUGAAUAUUGGUCAAUGGACGCAAGUCUGAACAAGCCAUGCCGCGUGAAGGAUGAAGGUCCUCUGGAUUGUAAACUUCUUUUAUCUGGGACGAAAAAAGAUCAUUCUUGAGCACUUGACGGUACCAGAAGAAUAAGCACAGGCUAACUCCGUGCCAGCAGCCGCGGUAAUACGGAGGGUGCAAGCGUUAUCAGGAUUUACUGGGUUGAAAGGGUGCGUAGGUGGAUUUGUAAGUCAGUGGUGAAAUCUCCGAGCUUAACUCGGAAACUGCCAUUGAUACUAUAAGUCUUGAAUUAUCUGGAUGUAAGCGGAAUAUGUCAUGUAGCCGUGAAAUUCUUAGAUAUGACCCGGAACACCGAUUGCGACGGCAGCCCACUAAUCAAUUAUUGACGCUGAGGCACUAAAGCGUGGGGAUCAAAC
RNAcentral lists this ribosomal RNA (421 nucleotides) under uncultured bacterium. RNAcentral describes it as "bacterial SSU rRNA". It matches the Rfam family "Bacterial small subunit ribosomal RNA", at positions 355 to 773 of the family's 1533-position model. The record is from RNAcentral.